CGCGGCCUAUCAGCUUGUUGGUGGGGUAAUGGCCUACCAAGGCAUCGACGGGUAGCUGGUCUGAGAGGACGAUCAGCCACACUGGGACUGAGACACGGCCCAGACACCUACGGGAGGCAGCAGUGGGGAAUCUUGCGCAAUGGGCGAAAGCCUGACGCAGCAACGCCGCGUGGGGGAUGAAGGCUCUCGGGUUGUAAACCCCUUUCAGCAGGGACGAAAAUGACGGUACCUGCAGAAGAAGCUCCGGCCAACUACGUGCCAGCAGCCGCGGUAAUACGUAGGGAGCAAGCGUUGUCCGGAUUUAUUGGGCGUAAAGAGCUCGUAGGCGGUUUGGUAAGUCAGAUGUGAAAACUCAGGGCUCAACCCUGAGAGGCCAUCUGAUACUGCCAUGACUAGAGUCCGGUAGAGGAGUGUGGAAUUUCUGGUGUAGCGGUGAAAUGCGCAGAUAUCAGAAGGAACACCAAUGGCGAAGGCAGCACUCUGGGCCGGUACUGACGCUGAGGAGCGAUAGCGUGGGGAGCAAACAGGAUUAGAUACCCUGGUAGUCCACGCCGUAAACGCUGGGCACUAGGUGUGGGACCUUAUCAACGGGUUCCGUGCCGUAGCUAACGCAUUAAGUGCCCCGCCUGGGGAGUACGG
RNAcentral lists this ribosomal RNA (639 nucleotides) under uncultured Actinomycetes bacterium. Its description in RNAcentral is "bacterial SSU rRNA". It matches the Rfam family "Bacterial small subunit ribosomal RNA", at positions 232 to 885 of the family's 1533-position model. Lineage: Bacteria; Bacillati; Actinomycetota; Actinomycetes. The record is from RNAcentral.